RNAcentral lists this ribosomal RNA (303 nucleotides) under uncultured bacterium. Its description in RNAcentral is "bacterial SSU rRNA". It matches the Rfam family "Bacterial small subunit ribosomal RNA", at positions 355 to 674 of the family's 1533-position model. The record is from RNAcentral.
UGGGGAAUAUUGCACAAUGGGGGAAACCCUGAUGCAGCGACGCCGCGUGAGUGAAGAAGUAUUUCGGUAUGUAAAGCUCUAUCAGCAGGGAAGAAAAAAGACGGUACCUGACUAAGAAGCCCCGGCUAACUACGUGCCAGCAGCCGCGGUAAUACGUAGGGGGCAAGCGUUAUCCGGAUUUACUGGGUGUAAAGGGAGCGUAGACGGUAUGGCAAGUCUGAAGUGAAAGCCCAGGGCUUAACCCUGGGACUGCUUUGGAAACUGUUAGACUAGAGUGCUGGAGAGGUAAGUGGAAUUCCUAGU